GAUGAACGCGGGCGGCGUGCCUAAUACAGGCAAGUCGAGCGAACGGACGAGAAGCUUGCUUCUCUGAUGUUAGCGGCGGACGGGUGAGUAACACGUGGAUAACCUACCUAUAAGACUGGGAUAACUUCGGGAAACCGUAGCUAAUACCGGAUAAUAUUUUAAACCGCAUGGUUCAAAAGUGAAAGACGGUCUUGCUGUCACUUAUAGAUGGAUCCGCGCUGCAUUAGCUAGUUGGUAAGGUAACGGCUUACCAAGGCAACGAUGCAUAGCCGACCUGAGAGGGUGAUCGGCCACACUGGAACUGAGACACGGUCCAGACUCCUACGGGAGGCAGCAGUAGGGAAUCUUCCGCAAUGGGCGAAAGCCUGACGGAGCAACGCCGCGUGAGUGAUGAAGGUCUUCGGAUCGUAAAACUCUGUUAUUAGGGAAGAACAUAUGUGUAAGUAACUGUGCACAUCUUGACGGUACCUAAUCAGAAAGCCACGGCUAACUACGUG
This 497-nucleotide ribosomal RNA is filed under the name uncultured bacterium. Its description in RNAcentral is "partial 16S ribosomal RNA". It matches the Rfam family "Bacterial small subunit ribosomal RNA", at positions 28 to 507 of the family's 1533-position model. The record is from RNAcentral.